Long non-coding RNA from Passer domesticus (house sparrow), 4067 nucleotides. RefSeq lists it as uncharacterized. The transcript has 3 exons. Lineage: Eukaryota; Metazoa; Chordata; Aves; Passeriformes; Passeridae. The record is from RefSeq and is a predicted model, not a curated record.
CUUUUGCUAAAAUAAAUGAAAUACAAUCAUAAUUUUUUUUCUACAUCAAGAGAAAGUGUUCUAGUUUCAGACACAAUAAUCUUCAACUAUUUACAUCAUUAAAGGUAUUCCUAUAAACACAUUAGGAAAUACCUCCUAAACUACAGCUAAAGAAAAGAGUGUCACUGCUUGCUGGCACCCAAUAUUUUGUUGGUUUAACUAUAUAGUUAUAUGAAUUUCUGUGUGCUUUACUAUCUUUCAGUUUGGAUUUAAAUUUUCAAUAUAAGCUUCAAUAAGUUGGGUUUUUUCCCCCCCAGUGGCAGAAAAACAAAAGGAAUGUAUUUGAGGUAUCAGGGAAAUCAGGUAAAUUUCCCACUUGGGAGAGAAAGAACUAAACUCCUCCAAAAACAAAUGAGGGACUGCAGACUGGUGUUUGCGACCAACAAAAAUUAGACUGUGAACACUUCCAGUAUAUUAAUGGCUAACUAUAGAUACUACUACUAUCCAGGAAUGCUGUUUGUAUGCCCUAGACUGCCAUGUGAUCAGAUUGUACAAUAAUUGUCAAUAAAAAUGAGAAUUUACUGCCUGAACAACAAAAUAUCUGUGUUGUAAAACUCCUCGGGCCUCAACUUUGAUUUAUAGCAAUAAAUUGCAAUAAAUCAAAGUGUAUAAGUAUGAAGAAAAAAAAAUCUCCAUAGGUAUUCUCAGAAAAAUUUUGCAAAGCCUCUCUGUGCAAACAUGUAUUGCUAUAAAUUAGACAGAGACUCCAUGUUUCUAGACCAUCCUGAUAAACAGCUUUUUGCUCUAAUGCAAGCAGGCAAAAGUGAACUUUGUUCUUAUGUGCCACAUGACAAGUUAGGUAAACCACCCAAAUACUGCAUCUGAAAGUAAUCAAUACCAGCACUGUGAGUCAGCUCUGCUGACACUAUACAGAAAAUGUUUUAAAUUUAAAUCUUUCUAUGUGCUUCAACUGGACUGCUGAAAUUCGAACUUUAAAACAGUAUUUUUAAUUCUAAAGGUUAUUAGUGUUAACUGAAUUACCCAUUUAGUGAACAGUAAACAAAUACUAGCCUUUACAAAUUAAAAGGGAAUAAAGUUACCACCAUCCCAUAUACAAGUUUUUUAAAGUAAUCACUAAGCUAUGCAAAGCCUUUGCUUCAGUACAAUCACACACUCAUUAAUUAAAAUCAGAAAUUCUGGUUAUCUGUACUGGAACAGAAAAUACAUUUUUAGACAGAUGGCAUAACCAAGCAUAGAUUUCUGUAUACUUGGUUAUAAUUUAAACACCUGGAACAUACAUGAAGUAGGCACUACUUCAUCAAUACCACAUCACUAUUAUUUCCAGAAAUAGCCUAUGACCUCUUAAAUAGUUACCUGAUUAAAAUCCAUUUAACAUUGCCUUUCUGUUUCCACAAAGAUCAGAAACAGGGUUACAAAGACAUAGUAAGAACACAUUUUCUGCCUCCCACCCUCAUUCCCCUGAAUUAAGACAAACAAAACCAAAAACCUACACGCACUCUCACCAAUUUGCUGCACCUGCAACCUACACUGUAGGGAACUUUUAUUCUUACUUGAAAUAACUUAACCAAACAAUUUUGCUUUAUUAUUUACAAUCUGAUAGAAUUUAAAGUAAGUACCCUCUCAGUAGCAAUAGCAACUGUGGACUCCUGUUUAAAUUUUUGGAGAGUGCCCAUCAACAAGCCAAAUAUACGUCGAUUCCUGAAAAAAAACAAACCCACAACAAAAAGAAAUUUGAGAUUCAGUUCAAGUACUAACUUUUUUAUUUAUAUAAAUAAUCAGAUAAACUUUCCACCUCAAGGAUACUUAUUUUUAAAGGCCCAGUAGUACCCAAGGCCAUUAGGAAUAGCAGACAUACUGACUGUGCCAACAGUCCAGGAUAUAAUUUACAGUGACAUAUCAUUUUGCUUAUGAGUAAGCCACAGCUCUUAUGCGUAACACAGAACAGCUAGCACUGGCAAAACUGGCAGCCUGCACAUUUUUCAUCUAUAAAUAAUAACAGUAAGGAAAUAUUUUAAAAAAUCUUAAAGCAGAGAGUACUGAAGAAGAAAGUCAAAUACAGCAUGAGCUAUCAAUAAGGUAGCAAACUGGGUUUUCUAAAAAUCAUGCACUUCCCUGUCCACAAUCUGCUUAGACUGUUAAGGAGAAAUGGAGCCACAGGGGAGUGAAAGCUUAUCUAUCAGAGUUGCCCAACAAUGAGACACUGCACUGUGGGAUGAAAAGAGAACUGCUCUCAUUCGAUUAGGUGUUGUUCUGAGAAAAAUAAGUAAAAUCCUUCAACAAAUUCCCUUCUUCUGAGCAAGAACUUGUUUCUUGACUUUAACCUUCAAUUUAUUUUCAUUCAAUCCCAAAUUAAAGUCUGCAUCAGGUUGUAAAGACUUUCUUAUUUGCCUUCAACCUGAUAAAGUGAGAAAGGAAAUGCUACUGUCUUCUCCAAGUACUACUCUACUACAGUGGCACAAACCUCACAUGGAAAGGCAAAAGUAUAUCAAAUAAUAGGAACAGGAACAGAUAAAAAUCAAAAACUGAAAGUGCAUUUGUACAUGAAUAACAUACCAGAAGACACAGAGCAAAAUCAGGAGUUCAGGGGAUGCUGUCCUCUUAAAGAGCCUCCCUCCACCACAAUUCAUAGGCACUAACACUGGUUUCCUCAUCUCCCUAGAGAUUACUGAACUGAAAAGCAGUUAAACUACAAGUCUGAGGGAACAAGCUUUUAGUCUGAAGCUGUAGGAAGUUCAGUAAGGAUUUUGGAAGUCUCCCUGUGAGGGAAGCAAUUAGAACCUAGUAACAGAAGACUCCAAGUGGGGUCAUAACUAAAAGAAGCAAGUAAAGUGCCAGUUUUCUGUGACAGUUGAUCUGUGGGGACUUAGAGAAGAUUUCUACAGUUCCUUAUUCCAGUUCUAAUUCUUCUGUUUAUUUGGGGUAUAACUAUCACUGCAUCAGGCGACUUGCAGUCUGAAGUAGACAGAAUCCAAGAGGUCAAACACAGCUGCAAACUUGAUUUUCAAAUACCUCUUACCAAUAGAGCUGUAUUUCAGUUAGAAUUUUAAUAGCCCUGAGAAAAGUAAAAGAUGGGGAAAAGGAGACAUACAUAGGAGGAAUCUAAAGAGCAACAGGUGAAAUGAAGGCAAGACUGUACACACAACACGAAAUCAAAGUAGUAUGAGAAAAGAAACAUGGUAGAACUAUUUCAUUUAAAAAAAGAGGCAGAGGGAGUGAGGAACCAUAUUCAAAACCCUACUUCAACCAACAAAAUAAAUGAUGAGCCAAGACAGCUGUAAUAAUCCAAGACAUGAAGCAACCAAUGAAGCUACAGAUAUUUCUGUCUUACUCAAACGACAUUAAAACAGCACUAGCAAACCUGUUCCUGUAGGUGGCCUGAAAAGUAGAAUCCAUGUCAGUUAUGUGGACAAUGCACAUGUUGCUGCUUGUGAAGUAUUUUCAGAGACAACUUUUUAAAUUCAAUUUUGUAUCAUAAUCGUAACUGUUCUACAUAAUCUUUGAUACACAACAGCUUAUGUGCAGUAUCUUUUAAAUCUAAAGCUACUUUCUAUGGCAGAAGUCAAAAGUAUCAGGUUAGUAGAAGAGAUUUCUGCAUACCUUUGUUUUCCUUUCUCAUCCAUAUUCUGAUCUUGUAUAAGGUCUCGACGUGUUCGCUCUUUGGAGGUAGCAACAACAGAAGAUGGCAACGCUGGCUACAAGAAAGAAAAACAAAAUACUUUGUUUAUCCUGCUGCAGCCUGAGGAAGAAAGACAGCGGUCAUUAGAGAACCUGAAUUUAGGAGAGAAUCUCUUCUAGCAGGGGAAAAUACAAGCAUGUCUAGUCAGAAGAACCAACACUUCGGGGAAAAUCUUCCCACUGUUCCAACAACCAAAACCACUAAAAUGGCUACUGGUAUAAUCUGUCACUGGACAGAUGUAAAUGCACUGACAUGGUAGACUGGUAUAAUUUCUUAGACAAGAAACGCUGUUCAAAUUACCUACCAAGUACCUAUGGGAGAGAGGCAGAGGGCUUACCACUUGAGACAUGGAUGAACUAAAGCUUGAACAAAGAACAACUUAAACAAUAAA